RNAcentral lists this long non-coding RNA (960 nucleotides) under Pan troglodytes (chimpanzee). RNAcentral describes it as "long non-coding RNA NONPTRT002880". Lineage: Eukaryota; Metazoa; Chordata; Mammalia; Primates; Hominidae. The record is from RNAcentral.
GCUGGGGCCACCCAGGCAACCGAUAUACACAGAGAACCACGUGGAGGAAAAGCACGCGAGUUUGGAGGGGGUGGAGCAGGAACAGAGGUGGACUGGAAUGUCACACGACGGGGCAGCUGGAAGUGCACAGAAACACUCUCCACACCAAGCUGCUGCUGCUGGGGGAUGGAGGGAUGGCGUCAGCGAUUCAAGACUGUUUUUCCUACCUGUUCAGCACUUCUUUCAGCGAUAUGAAGUUAAAUCCAGGUCCCACCGACCCCAGCUCUUCCUUGUGCCGGGCAAAGAUGCCUCCUGUGGGUCUGCACAGGACAUGUUUCUCCUUGAGUGUGUUGGGGACAUUCCAGGCCUGAGAGUGUCCUGAGGCUGAGAGCCCCUGUUGAGCAGAAGAGAGCUGUUGGCCCUCUUGCCUGGCCAGGACUCUGAAGGACUCCAGCUCCAACAUUUUCUCACUAGUAAAUGAGAUGAUUUACUCUUGACUUGGGGUUUGUUUGUUUCACAUGUAAAGACACCUUCACAGCACGAAAGCUGCAGAUUCAGAGAGGGACAUCAGGUUGAGGAGGCGGGAGGGAUGUGUGUCACAGGUCCCCGGACGCUGUGUAGAUUUCUUGGUUGGCCAGUGAAAGUCCCCACAUCUCACGGAGAUCCCCAUGCCCUUCCCGAGGAAGCCUCUAGAUGUCAGAGAUGCAGACAUUGCGCGUCUCAGUGGACAAUCCAAUCCAGAAAUGGGGGUGCAGAGAGGGGCUUCUGUUGCUCUUGAGCGGGAAUUCCACGGCCCUAGGUAUGGACUUAGGUGCUGAAGGGGGGGUACCCAGGAGAGAGGUUAGGACUGGCGAGGGAGUGGAUGGGGAUGGGGUUGGGGCAUGUGUACACGAACCAGGGCUGGGGCCAGCCCUCUAUAAUUACCUGAGUCACCACAGAUACCCCACAGCCUCCACAAGGCCUGCUGACUUGACCAGGGAG